RNAcentral lists this ribosomal RNA (274 nucleotides) under uncultured Pseudomonas sp. Its description in RNAcentral is "partial 16S ribosomal RNA". It matches the Rfam family "Bacterial small subunit ribosomal RNA", at positions 68 to 343 of the family's 1533-position model. Lineage: Bacteria; Pseudomonadati; Pseudomonadota; Gammaproteobacteria; Pseudomonadales; Pseudomonadaceae. The record is from RNAcentral.
GGUAGCAGAGAAGCUUGCUUCUCUUGAGAGCGGCGGACGGGUGAGUAAAGCCUAGGAAUCUGCCUGGUAGUGGGGGAUAACGUUCGGAAACGGACGCUAAUACCGCAUACGUCCUACGGGAGAAAGCAGGGGACCUUCGGGCCUUGCGCUAUCAGAUGAGCCUAGGUCGGAUUAGCUAGUUGGUGAGGUAAUGGCUCACCAAGGCGACGAUCCGUAACUGGUCUGAGAGGAUGAUCAGUCACACUGGAACUGAGACACGGUCCAGACUCCUACG